GUGAACGCUGGCGGUAGGCCUAACACAUGCAAGUCGAACGGCAGCACAGUAAGAGCUUGCUCUUACGGGUGGCGAGUGGCGGACGGGUGAGGAAUACAUCGGAAUCUACUUUUUCGUGGGGGAUAACGUAGGGAAACUUACGCUAAUACCGCAUACGACCUACGGGUGAAAGCAGGGGAUCUUCGGACCUUGCGCGAUUGAAUGAGCCGAUGUCGGAUUAGCUAGUUGGCGGGGUAAAGGCCCACCAAGGCGACGAUCCGUAGCUGGUCUGAGAGGAUGAUCAGCCACACUGGAACUGGGACACGGUCCAGACUCCUACGGGAGGCAGCAGUGGGGAAUAUUGGACAAAGGGCGCAAGCCUGAUCCAGCCAUACCGCGUGGGUGAAGAAGGCCUUCGGGUUGUAAAGCCCUUUUGUUGGGAAAGAAAAGCAGCAGGUUAAUACCCCGCUGUUCUGGCGGUACCCAAAGAAUAAGCACCGGCUAACUUCGUG
This 491-nucleotide ribosomal RNA is filed under the name uncultured bacterium. RNAcentral describes it as "partial 16S ribosomal RNA". It matches the Rfam family "Bacterial small subunit ribosomal RNA", at positions 29 to 507 of the family's 1533-position model. The record is from RNAcentral.